CUUGACGGAGCCGAGCCAGAGCGGCCGGUCCGCGCUCCGGUGCCUGCCGUACGCGGCGAUCAGCGCCUGUGCCUC
This 75-nucleotide antisense RNA is filed under the name Streptomyces ardesiacus. RNAcentral describes it as "ASpks TB sRNA". It matches the Rfam family "ASpks TB sRNA". The record is from RNAcentral. RNAcentral also lists the same sequence under 3 other names. Lineage: Bacteria; Bacillati; Actinomycetota; Actinomycetes; Kitasatosporales; Streptomycetaceae.